UAAUAAUAAAAAAUAAUAAAACGAACGAAUUUACAAAUCUUAACGAAACGCGCGAAAAUUUAACGAAACAACAACAACAACACGCAAUGGCUUGUUAAACAACAACAACAACGGCAACGGAAAUGAGUGCCUCAUCAGAGUGCGAGACGGCAACGAAUCCAAGCGAAUUAUCAACGGCAGCAGCCAAGGGCAACAGUUGAACGACAACAACAGCUUGAAGUGGAAGAAGAA
Molecule: unclassified non-coding RNA, 231 nt
Filed under: Drosophila mojavensis
Lineage: Eukaryota; Metazoa; Arthropoda; Insecta; Diptera; Drosophilidae
Description: GI26930
Source: RNAcentral